UAGGGAAUCUUCGGCAAUGGGGGCAACCCUGACCGAGCAACGCCGCGUGAGUGAAGAAGGUUUUCGGAUCGUAAAGCUCUGUUGUAAGAGAAGAACGUGUGUGAGAGUGGAAAGUUCACACAGUGACGGUAACUUACCAGAAAGGGACGGCUAACUACGUGCCAGCAGCCGCGGUAAUACGUAGGUCCCGAGCGUUGUCCGGAUUUAUUGGGCGUAAAGCGAGCGCAGGCGGUUUAAUAAGUCUGAAGUUAAAGGCAGUGGCUUAACCUUUGUUCGCUUUGGACACUGGUAAACUUGAGUGCAGAAGGGGAGAGUGGAAUUCCAUGUGUAGCGGUGAAAUGCGUAGAUAUAUGGAGGAACACCGGUGGCGAAAGCUGCUCUCUAGUCUGUAACUGACGCUGAGGCUCGAAAGCGUGGGGAUCAAACAGG
This 429-nucleotide ribosomal RNA is filed under the name bacterium. RNAcentral's name for it is "partial 16S ribosomal RNA". It matches the Rfam family "Bacterial small subunit ribosomal RNA", at positions 355 to 776 of the family's 1533-position model. The record is from RNAcentral.